RNAcentral lists this ribosomal RNA (439 nucleotides) under uncultured bacterium. RNAcentral describes it as "partial 16S ribosomal RNA". It matches the Rfam family "Bacterial small subunit ribosomal RNA", at positions 339 to 795 of the family's 1533-position model. The record is from RNAcentral.
CUACGGGUUGCACCAGUGAGGAAUAUUGCACAAUGGGGGGAACCCUGAUGCAGCAACGCCGCGUGGAGGAUGACGCAUUUCGGUGUGUAAACUCCUUUUAUAUGUCAAGAAAAUGACGGUAGCAUAUGAAUAAGCACCGGCUAACUCCGUGCCAGCAGCCGCGGUAAUACGGAGGGUGCAAGCGUUACUCGGAAUCACUGGGCGUAAAGGACGCGUAGGCGGGUUGGAAAGUCAGGUGUGAAAUCCUACAGCGUAACUGUAGAACGGCACUUUAAACUUCUAAUCUAGAGUAUGGGAGGGGGAGAUGGAAUUAGUGGUGUAGGGGUAAAAUCCGUAGAUAUCACUAGGAAUACCUAAAGCGAAGGCGAUCUCCUGGAACAUUACUGACGCUAAGGCGUGAAAGCGUGGGGAGCAAACAGGAUUAGAUACCCUAGUAGUC